GACGAACGCUGGCGGCGUGCUUAACACAUGCAAGUCGAACGGAAAGGCCCUUCGGGGUACUCGAGUGGCGAACGGGUGAGUAACACGUGGGUGAUCUGCCCUGCACUUUGGGAUAAGCCUGGGAAACUGGGUCUAAUACCGAAUAGGACCACGCGCUUCAUGGUGUGUGGUGGAAAGCUUUUGCGGUGUGGGAUGGGCCCGCGGCCUAUCAGCUUGUUGGUGGGGUAAUGGCCUACCAAGGCGACGACGGGUAGCCGGCCUGAGAGGGUGACCGGCCACACUGGGACUGAGAUACGGCCCAGACUCCUACGGGAGGCAGCAGUGGGGAAUAUUGCACAAUGGGCGCAAGCCUGAUGCAGCGACGCCGCGUGAGGGAUGACGGCCUUCGGGUUGUAAACCUCUUUCAAUAGGGACGAAGCGCAAGUGACGGUACCUAUAGAAGAAGCACCGGCCAACUACGUGCCAGCAGCCGCGGUAAUACGUAGGGUGCGAGCGCUGUCCGGAAUUACUGGGCGUAAAGAACUCGUAGGUGGUUUGUCGCGUUGUUCGUGAAAACUCACAGCUUAACUGUGGGCGUGCGGGCGAUACGGGCAGACUAGAGUACUGCAGGGGAGACUGGAAUUCCUGGUGUAGCGGUGGAAUGCGCAGAUAUCAGGAGGAACACCGGUGGCGAAGGCGGGUCUCUGGGCAGUAACUGACGCUGAGGAGCGAAAGCGUGGGGAGCGAACAGGAUUAGAUACCCUGGUAGUCCACGCCGUAAACGGUGGGUACUAGGUGUGGGUUCCUUCCUUGGGAUCCGUGCCGUAGCUAACGCAUUAAGUACCCCGCCUGGGGAGUACGGCCGCAAGGCUAAAACUCAAAGGAAUUGACGGGGGCCCGCACAAGCGGCGGAGCAUGUGGAUUAAUUCGAUGCAACGCGAAGAACCUUACCUGGGUUUGACAUGCACAGGACGCCGGCAGAGAUGUCGGUUCCCUUGUGGCCUGUGUGCAGGUGGUGCAUGGCUGUCGUCAGCUCGUGUCGUGAGAUGUUGGGUUAAGUCCCGCAACGAGCGCAACCCUUGUCCUAUGUUGCCAGCGGGUUAUGCCGGGGACUCGUAGGAGACUGCCGGGGUCAACUCGGAGGAAGGUGGGGAUGACGUCAAGUCAUCAUGCCCCUUAUGUCCAGGGCUUCACACAUGCUACAAUGGCCGGUACAAAGGGCUGCGAUGCCGUGAGGUGGAGCGAAUCCUUUCAAAGCCGGUCUCAGUUCGGAUCGGGGUCUGCAACUCGACCCCGUGAAGUCGGAGUCGCUAGUAAUCGCAGAUCAGCAACGCUGCGGUGAAUACGUUCCCGGGCCU
Molecule: ribosomal RNA, 1337 nt
Filed under: uncultured bacterium
Lineage: Bacteria
Description: bacterial SSU rRNA
Rfam family: Bacterial small subunit ribosomal RNA
Source: RNAcentral